RNAcentral lists this non-coding RNA (26 nucleotides) under Cricetulus griseus (Chinese hamster). RNAcentral also lists the same sequence under 1 other name. The record is from RNAcentral. Lineage: Eukaryota; Metazoa; Chordata; Mammalia; Rodentia; Cricetidae.
AUGACUAUCUUAGGACACCUUUGGAU